GACCUGGAUACCGCGAAAAGACCGUGUUUUACCAGAUUCACUGCACCAUUCGAAAUCUUCUGAGAUCAUAAAUAGUUAAUUGCAGGAGGAAAGCCAUCGCCAUCGAAAGUAUGGGAUCUGGACUGUACAGAAGGAAGAGAGUCAGAUGGGCGUUCGCUGUUCUCGGCUUCCCGACUGUGACUGCAGCGUGACCAGCAGCCUCCAGCCCUUGCCACCCGGACCCACUUACUGCGAUAGACUGCGCCCUGGAGCUGGGGGCUAAGGAAGACCCUUUGCCGUUCAAGGUGCUCUUACCAGGGUGCUUUACCACAUGAACAGUUACACACGAAAGAUGUAAAUGUGCUGUUGCUCCCUUCACCCUUGCCUCCUCCUGUAGUCAACGCUAAAGCCCAGGUGAUUGCUCAUCAUCACAACACUCCCGUCACCUCCAAAGCCUUCCAGUGAAGUUCAUCAGAGCUUUCUGCAGGGAUGCAAGAAUCCCCUCCAUGCCUUCUCUGUACAGCAUGGAGCCACGAGGUGGCCAUGAGCUGCCCAUCGCUGUGGACACUGAGCACAGGUAGUUAGGGCUGACAUGCCAGGCGGCCCAUUCCCAGUGCCCUCUGGGAGCCCUGAGGAAAAGCAAUCUUUGCAAUAUCUGACACCACCUGUGCCGGUGGUUAGGAUUUUCCCAAUUUGACAUGAGUCAGGCUCCUUUGGGAAGCAGGAACUGCAAUUGAGAAAAUGUCCCUAAUCCGAUUGGCCUGCAGGCAACUCUGUGGGGGCGUUUUCAUGAUUAAUAGCUGAUGUGGGAGGGCCUGGAUCAAUGCUACCCUCCAACAUGGUCCUGAGUAGUAUAAGAAAGCAAACGAACAAGACACGGAGUAUGCUAGUAAGCAGAAUCCUUCCCUGGCCUGUUUCAGUUCCUGCCUGCAGCUUCCUGCCUUGACUUCCCUGCAUGAUGGACUAUAGCCUGUUGGCUGAACUAAACCCUAUCUUCCUGGAGCUGCUUUUGGUCCUGGUCCUUAUCACACCAAUAGACAGCUGAUACACACCCCCUUCUAGGACAAGCUCCCAUCUCUGGCCUCACUUCCUCCCCUUACCCUCCACUCUCUAUCUGCAUGGUCUUCUUGCUUGGCUUUGUCUCUCCCACAUGCUUCUUGCAUUCUCUGCGUUCAGUGUUCUUUCCUUAAAUAUCUCCGUGGCUCGGUUCCUCCUUUGCUUUAAUUGUAGAGUGUAGAACAUUUACAUUUUGUGUGCUUAUUGAUUGAAAUCUAUGCAUUGCCACCUCCGACGUACUGUUUGUUUUCUAUGCAGACCAUCUGUCCCUGGCUUCUUUUUGGGCACCCUAUUUUCUCCUGCUUUUUUGGAUGCUGCUUACUAGUAUACUCUCUCCUUUGAUAGCCUUCUAUCUCUGAUGGCUCUUUGACCUCUGCAUUUUACGUUCUCCAUGGUUGUUUAGGGUUGAUAAUAGUCCUAAAUUGAUCUCAUUCCAGUGUCAGCUCACAUAGUCACCUCCUCGCUGUCACGCUGCAUGUAGAUGCUUCUUCCUGCCCUGUGAGUCACUGUUGUCACCUAUUUCUCUCCUGUAUAUGCCAUGGGUGCCAAACAUUGCAACCAUCAUUCUUGCUUUAAAUAGUUAGCUACAUUUCUGAGAAAAUUUAAAAAAAAAAAGUGAGACGUUUGACAUUUCUGUUGUCUCUUUUCCUUAUGUAGAUUAAAGCUUUUUUUUUUUAGUUGUUAUAGAUAUUUUUUAAUCUGGUGUCAUUUAUCUUCCACUGGAACAAAAUUCUUAAAUCAUUUCUCUCUUUUUAAAAAAUGACUUUAUUUGCUUUUAUUUUAUGCAUAUGAAUGGUUUGCCUGCAUGUAUAUAUGUGCACCAUGUAUGCCUGGUGCUCAGGAGGCUGGGAGAAGCCAUCGGAUCCCCCUUUACCCCCUGGAACUGGAGGUACAGGGAAGUAUGAGCUGCCAUGUGGGUGCUGGGAACUGAACCCAGGUUCUCCAGGUCUAUGGUUGAAAACACCACUCAGCUUUCUUUCAUCUAAUACAUUUAUUUUAUACUUCCCUUCACUCCAUUUUUCCUGUUCAGUUGUGUGUGUAAUUUUAGGUUAACAUUUGUUCCUUGGGUUUUAGCUGUUAGCACUUUAAAGAUGUUGUAUUGGAGGCUGGAGAGAUGGCUCAGUAGUUAAGAGCACUGACUGCUCUUCCGAAGGUCCUGAGUUCAAAUCCCAGCAACCACAUGGUGGUUUACAACCAUCCGUAAUGAGAUCUGACGCCCUCUACUGGUGUGUCUAAAAACAGCUACAGUGUACUUAUAUAUAACAAAUAAACAAAUCUUAAAAAAAAAAAAAAA
This 2329-nucleotide long non-coding RNA is filed under the name Mus musculus (house mouse). RNAcentral's name for it is "predicted gene, 35021". The record is from RNAcentral. Lineage: Eukaryota; Metazoa; Chordata; Mammalia; Rodentia; Muridae.